GAAAAAUAGUUGGUUGCACUCUCGGAAUUCCAUUAAAAUAUAACUUUUAUUCCAGCUUCUAAAACAGAUCAACGUUUCAGUCCACAAGAUCGACUGAAACGUUGAUCUGUUUUAAAAGCUGGAGUAAAAGUUAUAUUUUAAUGGAAUUCCGAGAGUGCAACCAACUAUUUUUC
Molecule: non-coding RNA, 173 nt
Organism: Pelobates cultripes (western spadefoot toad)
Lineage: Eukaryota; Metazoa; Chordata; Amphibia; Anura; Pelobatidae
Source: the annotation of a GenBank genome assembly